RNAcentral lists this long non-coding RNA (3648 nucleotides) under Homo sapiens (human). Its description in RNAcentral is "HSALNT0300460". The record is from RNAcentral. Lineage: Eukaryota; Metazoa; Chordata; Mammalia; Primates; Hominidae.
GAAGAGUACUUUUUUUUUUUUUUUUUGAGACACAGUCUUACUCUGUCACCCAGGCUGGAGUGGUGCAGUGGCACAAUCUUGGCUCACUGCAGCCUCUGCCUCCUGGGUUCAAGUUAUUCUUAUGCCUCAGCCUCCUGAGUAGCUGGGACUACAGGCGUGCACCACCACUCCUGGCUAAUUUUUUGUAUUUUUAGUAGAGACAGGUUUUCGCCAUGUUGGCCAGGCUGGUCUCAAAUUCCCGACCUCAAAUGAUCCGCCCGUCUCAGCCUCCCAAAGUGUUGGGAUUACAGGUGUGAGCCGCCGCACCCGGCCUGGAGGAGUUCAUUUUCAUGGGGAAAGUGAUGUUUAUCAUUAUUUUGCUUCCCACUUCCUUGUCUUUUUCAGUGGGCAGAAGUCAGAGUCCCAUUAAGCCUGUACCGAGUCAGUAUUCAGACAUGCCAUCCGACACGUGGACAGAAGCUUUGCCAUCUGCCUACUUGGCUUGUCUGUUUCAAGCCCUUCACUGGUGGCCCUGGGUCCACAGAGUAAAGUCCAAACACCUUAGCCUGGCACCCAGGACCCUCUGAGGCCUGCCCUGCCCACCCUCCCAGCCUCUUUUGCCACUCCAGCUCCCUGAGCCACUGAUGUUCCACAGACCCUGCCCCUGCCAUCGUAACGUGGGUCACGUGGUGUGGGCACCUUUGUUUCCUGCCUCCAUCCUGCCUUCCCCUCCCCGCAACUCUCCCUUUGAAAUCAGGACCAUGAUUUUCUUCUCUCCAUAUGUUCAGUUUCUAGCCUGGUUCCUGGCUCACAAAGCCAUUCAAUAUUGUCAAGUUGAAACUGGGUUUAGUAGCACCUGUGGGCUAUUGGGAACAAAAGAAAGCAAGCGAGGCUGUGCUGAAAAGUGGUCAUUUGUGGUUGCUAUACGAGUGAUUAGCUCAGGAGAAUUUCUCCCCACGUGCUAUCUAAGAUUAGGGGAACAAAAGACCCUGGGUGUUCUUCCUUUAGUCAGUUGUUUGUUGAUUCAUUCCAUACGUGUCUGCUGAGUGCCACCUGUGUGCAAGUGGCAGGCAGGACAAGGGAGGACCCUCUGUGGCUGGGCCGGGUUCCUGGGGACCAGCAGGGAAUUGAUAAGAGCCAAGAGAAGCCUCGCUUUUACCCAGUGCCUAAGGAAACUGCCUCUUUUGUUUUAUUUUCUCCUAAGCGCCUGGUGACUCCCUCUGACCCAACAAGUUGCAGCACCUCUGCUGGGCUUUGCCACUGCCCCAUUUUUGCCAGAGCCUCACCCUGGUGGGGCCCCACCUCUGGGAAGCCCCAGCGCCUGCAAGAUUUUUUCCUCUCGUGACAGGGAGCAGCAUGCGGAGGGCCCUUGCACAACCUGGGUCUUCAGGAAGUUCCUUGCCCAGGUGUUGGCCCAGCUCUCUUCAUGGUUCCAAGAAGGCUGCCCCAGGAAGGCUUGUGGACAGAGGGAGAAGCAUCUCUUCCUCUAUGUCUCUUUUUAUCUAAGAAACCAGUUUGACCAGCAUCCUUCCCCUCGGCUCCCCAGGAGGAAUGCACGGAUCCCUUCGCCUUCCCCCAUCCCUCCAUGGUUGACUAAACCCACUAGGAUCCACUCUUUUGCGUGGAAAUGGGUUCAGGCCUCCCACGAAGAGCAUGAAGAUGCCCUCUGUUAUGGGUUACAUUAUGUCCCCUGCCCCCGAGACCGUAUGUUGAGUCCUAACCCUAGUAUUGCAGAACGUGAAUUUAUUAGGAGAUAGGGUCUUUAUGGAGGUCAUUAAGUUAAAUGAGGGUGUUAGGGUGGGCUGGUGUCCUGAUAUAAAGGGGAAAUUUGGGGCUGGGUGUAGUGGCUCACACAUAUAAUCCCAGUGCCUCGAGAGGCCAAGGCAGGAGGAUUGCUUGAGGGCAGGAGUUCAAGACCAGCUUGGGUAACAUAGGGAGACCGGUAUCUAUAAAAAAAAUUAAAAACAAAAAAAUUAGCCGAGUGUGGUGGUGCAUGCCUGUAGUCCCAGCUACUCAGGAGGCUGAGGUGGGAGGAUCGCUUGAGUCCAGGAAUUUGAGGCUGCAGUGAGCCAUAAAAAGAUGGGGGACGAUGGAGACGCACAGGGAAAACACCUUGUGAAUGCGGCAGAGAUAAGGGUGAUGCCUCUACACACCGAGGAACUUCAGAGACAACCAGUAAGUCACUGGGAGCUCGGGGAAGGCACAGCGCAGAUGCUCGCUGCCCUCAGAGGGAAGCCAGCCCGCCAACCCCUUGAUCUCAGACCUCUGGCCCCUGGAACUGUGAGAUGAUAGAUUUCUGUCGUUUAAGCACAGUGGUGCUGUGUUAUAGCAGCCCUAGGGAACCAUCCACUAUCAGAACAAAAGCAGGGCUGGACUGCUAGAAGAAAGGAGAGGAGAAUGGCAGAGGAUACCCACCUUGGGGCUGAAUCUGAGAUCACUCCAGGGCUCCCCAGGUUGUUUUGAAGAAUGGAGAUGGAUUUGUGCAGGGCUCACUGUAGAAGCUCAGUGCAGCAUGCGACGCUUAUAAGGCUGCAAUCCCCAGAGCUCAGUCCCUGAAGAGCGCUGCAUUCACAGACAUCAGCCAGCAGACAAACCAGUACCUAUUGUCCCUGACCCCCAGAAUCCAGCAGACAUAUAAAAGAUGGUUGUUAACCCCACUAAGUUUUGGGGUAAUUUGUUAUGCAGCCAUGCAACUGAAAGAAGCAGCUACAAUAUUUUUAUAAUGAAAUUCUUAGCCAGGACCCUCAUAGCCUAGCAAGAAGUUCUGUCUGGAAGAGCCCAGCUUUGGGGUUGGGUAUGUCUGGGUUUUAAUAUGUCAAGAGGGCAGGCCCUGGAGACGGAGCACAUGGAUUUGAAUCCCAGCCUCUCAUAGGCAGGUUAAUUAAUUUCCCUGAAUCUCAGUUUCUUCAUCUCUCAAUGGAGAAAAUAAUAGAAGCCACCUCACGGGAAUUAAAUGAGAUUAUUUACGCACAGCACCAAGGCUGUGGCUACUGUAUUUGACCCCUGAAACAGUUAAUUUUUCUUGACAUCCCUUCCUUGGUAUAUGUAUUAGUCAGGGUUCUCUAGAGGGACAGAACUAAUAGGAUAUCUCUCUCUCUAUAGAUUUAUAUAAAGGGGAGUUUAUUAAGUAUUAACUUACACAAUCACAAGGUCCUGCAAUAGGUCGUCUGCAGGCUGAGGAGCAAGGAGAGCCAGUUCAAGUCCCAAAACUGAAGAACUUGGAGUCUGAUGUUCGAGUCCAGGAAGCAUCCAGCACAGGAGAAAGAUGGAAGCUGGGAGGCCAGGCCUGACUCUCCUUUUCAUGUUUUUCUGCCUGCUUUAUAUCCGCUGGCAGCUGAUUAGGUGGUGCCCACCAGAUUAAGGGUGGAUCUGCCUUCCCCAGCCCACUGACUCAAAUGUUAAUCUCUUUUGGCAACACCCUCACAGACACACCCAGGAUCAAUACUGUCAGUUCAAUCAAGUUGACACUCAGUAUGAACCAUCGCAAUACAAUAGGAUUACUUUCUGUGAUAACCUGUGUAAAAAUAGGCAGUCAUGAUUUUCCUGUUGUGUUCUUCAGGUGUAAAACAAAAAAUUUUAAAAGAAGAAACUUCAAUUUUAAAGAUAUUAUUCAAACUAAGUUAAACAUUUUGUGUAUAAAUUAAAACAAUAAAUUUUGUUUGCAUGUAU